RNAcentral lists this ribosomal RNA (421 nucleotides) under uncultured bacterium. Its description in RNAcentral is "partial 16S ribosomal RNA". It matches the Rfam family "Bacterial small subunit ribosomal RNA", at positions 361 to 774 of the family's 1533-position model. The record is from RNAcentral.
AUAUUGGACAAUUGGGGCAACCCUGAUCCAGCCAUGCCGCGUGUGUGAAGAAGGUCUUCGGAUCGUAAAGCACUCUAAGCUGGGAGGAAGGGCUUUAGGUUAAUACCCUGAAGUUUUGACGUUUCCAACAGAAUAAGCACCUGCUAUCGCUGUGCCAGCUGCCUCAGUAAUACAGAGGGUGCAAGCGUUAAUCGGAAUUACUGGGCGUAAAGCGCGCGUAGGUGGUUCAGUAAGAUGGGUGUGAAAUCCCCGGGCUUAACCUGGGAACUGCUUUCAUAACUGCUGAGCUAGAGUACGGUAGAGGGUAGUGGAAUUUCCUGUGUAGCGGUGAAAUGCGUAGAUAUAGGAAGGAACACCAGUGGCGAAGGCGACUACCUGGACUGAUACUGACACUGAGGUGCGAAAGCGUGGGGAGCAAACA